Molecule: ribosomal RNA, 465 nt
Filed under: uncultured bacterium
Lineage: Bacteria
Description: partial 16S ribosomal RNA
Rfam family: Bacterial small subunit ribosomal RNA
Source: RNAcentral
GACGAACGCUGGCGGCGUGCUUAACACAUGCAAGUCGUACGGUAAGGCCCUUUCGGGGGUACACGAGUGGCGAACGGGUGAGUAACACGUGAGUAACCUGCCCACAACUUUGGGAUAACGCUAGGAAACUGGAGCUAAUACUGGAUAUGUGCUCCUGCUGCAUGGUGGGGGUUGGAAAGCUCCGGCGGUUGUGGAUGGACUCGCGGCCUAUCAGCUUGUUGGUGGGGUAGUGGCCUACCAAGGCGGCGACGGGUAGCCGGCCUAAGAGGGUGACCGGCCACAUUGGGACUGAGAUACGGCCCAGACUCCUACGGGAGGCAGCAGUGGGGAAUAUUGCACAAUGGACGCAAGCCGGAUGCAGCAACGCCGCGUGCGGGAUGACGGCCUUCGGGUUGUAAACCGCUUUCAGCAGGGACGAAGCUUUUUGUGACGGUACCUGCAGAAGAAGCACCGGCUAACUACGUG